RNAcentral lists this microRNA precursor (102 nucleotides) under Marmota monax (woodchuck). Lineage: Eukaryota; Metazoa; Chordata; Mammalia; Rodentia; Sciuridae. The record is from RNAcentral.
AGUGGGAUAGCUGGGUCGAAUGGUGGUUCCAUUUCAAGUUUUCUGAGGAAUCUCCACACUGCUUUCCAUAUGGUUGCACCGAUUUGCAAUCCCACCAGCAAU